AUACGGAGGGUGCAAGCGUUAAUCGGAAUUACUGGGCGUAAAGAGUACGUAGGUGGUUUGUUAAGUCAGAUGUGAAAGCCCCGGGCUCAACCUGGGAACUGCAUUUGAAACUGGCAAGCUAGAGUAUGGUAGAGGGGGGUAGAAUUUCUAGUGUAGCGGUGAAAUGCGUAGAUAUUAGAAGGAAUACCAGUGGCGAAGGCGGCCCCCUGGACCAAUACUGACACUGAGGUACGAAAGCGUGGGUAGCGAACAGGAUUAGAAACCCUUGUAGUCC
RNAcentral lists this ribosomal RNA (274 nucleotides) under uncultured bacterium. RNAcentral's name for it is "partial 16S ribosomal RNA". It matches the Rfam family "Bacterial small subunit ribosomal RNA", at positions 523 to 796 of the family's 1533-position model. The record is from RNAcentral.